AGAGUUUGAUCAUGGCUCAGGAUGAACGCUAGCUACAGGCUUAACACAUGCAAGUCGAGGGGCAUCAGUUUGGUUUGCUUGCAAACCAAAGCUGGCGACCGGCGCACGGGUGAGUAACACGUAUCCAACCUGCCUCAUACUCGGGGAUAACCUUUCGAAAGAAAAUUAAUAUCCGAUAGCAUAUAUUUCCCGCAUGGGUUUUAUAUUAAAGAAAUUCGGUAUGAGAUGGGGAUGCGUUCCAUUAGUUGUUGGCGGGGUAACGGCCACCAAGGACUACGAUGGAUAGGGGUUCUGAGAGGAAGGUCCCCCACAUUGGAACUGAGACACGGUCCAAACUCCUACGGGAGGCA
Molecule: ribosomal RNA, 350 nt
Filed under: uncultured bacterium
Lineage: Bacteria
Description: bacterial SSU rRNA
Rfam family: Bacterial small subunit ribosomal RNA
Source: RNAcentral